AUUGAACGCCGGCGGCAGGCUUAACACAUGCAAGUCGAGCGGGGGAAGGUAGCUUGCUACCGGACCUAGCGGCGGACGGGUGAGUAAUGCUUAGGAAUCUGCCUAUUAGUGGGGGACAACAUCUCGAAAGGGAUGCUAAUACCGCAUACGUCCUACGGGAGAAAGCAGGUGAUCUUCGGACCUUGCGCUAAUCGAUGAGCCUAAGUAGGAUUAGAUAGUUGGUGGGGUAAAGGCCUACCAAGGCGACGAGCUGUAGCGGGUCUGAGAGGAUGAUCGUCCAGACUGGGAAGGAGACACGGCCCCGACUCCUACGGGAGUCAGCAGUGGGGAAUAUUGGACAAUGGGGGGAGCCCUGAGCAAGCCAUGCCACGUGUGUGAGGAAGGCCUUAGGGUUGUAAAGCACUGUAAGCGAGGAGGAGGCUACUUUUGUUAAUACCUAAAGAUAGUGGACGUUACUCGCAGAAUAAGCACCGGCUAACUCUGUGCCAGCCGCCGCAGUAA
This 501-nucleotide ribosomal RNA is filed under the name uncultured bacterium. RNAcentral's name for it is "partial 16S ribosomal RNA". It matches the Rfam family "Bacterial small subunit ribosomal RNA", at positions 30 to 523 of the family's 1533-position model. The record is from RNAcentral.